Molecule: ribosomal RNA, 497 nt
Filed under: uncultured bacterium
Lineage: Bacteria
Description: partial 16S ribosomal RNA
Rfam family: Bacterial small subunit ribosomal RNA
Source: RNAcentral
GAUGAACGCUGGCGGCGUGCCUAAUACACGCAAGUCGAGCGAACAGACGAGGAGCUUGCUCCUCUGACGUUAGCGGCGGACGGGUGAGUAACACGUGGAUAACCUACCUAUAAGACUGGGAUAACUUCGGGAAACCGGAGCUAAUACCGGAUAAUGUAUUGAACCGCAUGGUUCAAUAGUGAAAGACGGUUUUGCUGUCACUUAUAGAUGGAUCCGCGCCGCAUUAGCUAGUUGGUAAGGUAACGGCUUACCAAGGCAACGAUGCGUAGCCGACCUGAGAGGGUGAUCGGCCACACUGGAACUGAGACACGGUCCAGACUCCUACGGGAGGCAGCAGUAGGGAAUCUUCCGCAAUGGGCGAAAGCCUGACGGAGCAACGCCGCGUGAGUGAUGAAGGUCUUCGGAUCGUAAAACUCUGUUAUUAGGGAAGAACAAAUGUGUAAGUAACUAUGCACGUCUUGACGGUACCUAAUCAGAAAGCCACGGCUAACUACGUG